Molecule: small nucleolar RNA, 92 nt
Organism: Prunus persica (peach)
Lineage: Eukaryota; Viridiplantae; Streptophyta; Magnoliopsida; Rosales; Rosaceae
Rfam family: small nucleolar RNA snoR116
Source: Rfam
AGGCAGUGAUGACUAAAUCUGUAUACCAUCAAACUAUGAAAGCUCUCUUUUUGGGGCUUGUUGAUGCCAACUUAACUUUACACUCUGAGCCU